Molecule: ribosomal RNA, 447 nt
Filed under: uncultured organism
Description: partial 16S ribosomal RNA
Rfam family: Bacterial small subunit ribosomal RNA
Source: RNAcentral
ACUCCUACGGGAGGCAGCAGUGGGGAAUAUUGGACAAUGGGCGCAAGCCUGAUCCAGCCAUGCCGCGUGAGUGAUGAAGGCCCUAGGGUUGUAAAGCUCUUUCACCGGUGAAGAUAAUGACGGUAACCGGAGAAGAAGCACCGGCUAACUUCGUGCAAGCAGCCGCGGUAAUACGAAGGGGGCUAGCGUUGUUCGGAUUUACUGGGCGUAAAGCGCACGUAGGCGGACUAUUAAGUCAGGGGUGAAAUCCCGGGGCUCAACCCCGGAACUGCCUUUGAUACUGGUAGUCUUGAGUUCGAGAGAGGUGAGUGGAAUUCCGAGUGUAGAGGUGAAAUUCGUAGAUAUUCGGAGGAACACCAGUGGCGAAGGCGGCUCACUGGCUCGAUACUGACGCUGAGGUGCGAAAGCGUGGGGAGCAAACAGGAUUAGAAACCCCGGUAGUCCCAU